RNAcentral lists this ribosomal RNA (319 nucleotides) under uncultured eukaryote. RNAcentral's name for it is "partial 18S ribosomal RNA". It matches the Rfam family "Eukaryotic small subunit ribosomal RNA", at positions 1470 to 1796 of the family's 1831-position model. The record is from RNAcentral.
CCCUUAGAUGUUCUGGGCAGCACGCGCGCUACAAUGGUCUUCGCAAACGGAUGCAUUCUCGAAGGAGAAUGCCAAUCUUGGAAUCUAUGCCUUGGUCGGGACAGUUGCUUGCAAUUUUUCGACUCGAACCAGGAAUUCCUUGUAAUCGUGAUUCAUCACAUCACGAUGAAUACGUCCCUGCCCUUUGUACACACCGCCCGUCGCUCCUACCGAUCGAAGAGUUAGGUGAAUUGUUUUGAUCGAUAAGAUUUGACUAUGGUCAACUCUCGUUGUGAAAUUCUGUGAAUCUGACUGUUUAGAGGAAGGAGGAGUCGUAACA